UACGUAGGGUGCGAGCGUUGUCCGGAAUUACUGGGCGUAGAGAGCUCGUAGGUGGUUUGUCGCGUCGUCUGUGAAAUUCCGGGGCUUAACUCCGGGCGUGCAGGCGAUACGGGCAUAACUUGAGUGCUGUAGGGGAGGCUGGAAUUCCUGGUGUAGCGGUGAAAUGCGCAGAUAUCAGGAGGAACACCAAUGGCGAAGGCAGGUCUCUGGGCAGUAACUGACGCUGAGGAGCGAAAGCGUGGGUAGCGAACAGG
RNAcentral lists this ribosomal RNA (254 nucleotides) under uncultured bacterium. RNAcentral's name for it is "partial 16S ribosomal RNA". It matches the Rfam family "Bacterial small subunit ribosomal RNA", at positions 524 to 776 of the family's 1533-position model. The record is from RNAcentral.